UCUUUUUAUUUUUUUUUCUUUAUUUUCCCUAUUACAUAUUCUAUGAGUAAAAAGAUCCUAAAAGAUCACCUGCUGAGUGGAAACAGGGGGAGCUCAGAAACAGGGGCAGAUCAGAAUUCAUAAUGACACAUUCCAGCAAGUCAGACUGCAUUGUAAAAGCAGUCUGGACUCAUUAAACAACUUUUUUACCUGCACAGGUUUUCCAGUUGCAGAAAAGAACAACUGGCUUGCCUCAGCAAUAGCCAAAGCACUGGAACAUCCCUUCUGUGACUACUAAUACAUGCUGAGGUACCCAUACCAUUUGGUCUGUCGUUUCAUCUCUUUAGGAGCAUCUGAAUAUCACCUCACUGAAUUCAAGAAAGUAUUGGAGCUGACACCAGAGCCACACUGCUUUGUAACCAGGAACAACCAAUGGCUACCACUACAUUGCUUCAAAAAAUUUCAUAUUUUACCUUCUUUACAUAUAUUUCCUUUAAAAAGAUAAUUUUAAAAAGCAAAAAACAUUCAGAACAUUAAGAAAAUGAUCACGCACAUUGCAAAAUUUUCCAAACAUGCAUUUUCUAAAAAAUACCAAAAUGAGCUGAAAUGGAACUCCUCUCACAAAUAUUGCUGAUUUUGAGGAAGAGGCAUCUUUUCAUGGAAAUGCAUCCAACAGAAACGUUUGUAAUCCACCACAGAAAACUGUACUAGAUCAUCAAAUAACAGACUAAUGGAUAAGCAGUUGUGAAUACCCCAAAAAAUCUUUCUGAAAGUCACUGUGCCACCUGCAAGGACAGACUACAAAGAUCAAUUGCUUUGUGGGUAUUAUUUCAUAAGCAUAAAAGACUAUAGUCCACAGUACUAAAAGGAAUGUACCUGACAGCACUAUUUUGGAUACAUUAAAAUAUGAGCAUAAUUGAGAGCUUGAGAAAUAUACAAUAUAUCUGUGGUAUUUAUCUAAAAAAAUAAAAUUGCAGUGAUAAAGUAGAGGUUCUAAGUUUGGCCGUCUGACACUAAACAGGACCAAGAGAUAAAUAUUGUACCUUUCUGGUUUAUGUACUGAUGAUGAAGUGGGAUUCAAACACAAAGUAGGGCUGUUCCUCCAUCACUGACAAGAGAGCUUGUACACAGAGCUCCUUACUGCUAAUGGCAGCUCUACCCUUAAAAAUAUAAACCCAUUAUGAGAAUGCAGAUCCUGACUAAGGAAAGUUUAAAACUGGAUGGUGGAAAGGGCAAAUAGGGUCAGAACCCGGUCACAAGUUAAGAGCAUGUUAGUGUUUCACACACUGGAUAGAGUCUUCUUGAACUGUUUAUUUUGCAAUGCAAAACCACAAAAAGAGAAUAUAUGUAAACACUAUUUAUGCAUAAAUAAAUCAGACUGGCUUGAAGAGUCACAAUAAAUGCAUCUCCCAUGCUUCUUACAUAUCCUCAUAAAUCAACAUAAAUUUACUUGUAGGAUUUGCUCCUGUGCUCUUUAACUGUACUCCCUGUCAAAGUCAACACCUCCUUGCUAAAAGAUAUGGUUGCCAGGGCAAAGAAUAUGAAAAUUUGUUAAGCAGCGCUAAAGAAAGAGUUAUGGAUUCUGUUCAUUUAGAUGCUUGCUUUCCCACCACUCUCAACAGCUAACUGUACCUUAUUCUGCUCCUAUUAUAAAAUCAAAAUGCAAUAAUGCUCUCUCACCAUUGGAGACAUCUUCAAGCUCCAAAGAGGUAUACACCAUUUUAAUCGUACAAACCCUCUGACCAGCUUUUUGCUCUGUGUUUGUGUGAUGACUGCUGCAGUAGGAUCUUCACCAUUAACGUGUUACAAGCCUCAAGACCAACGCUGUACACAUUACAGCAUUGCACAUGAUAUAACAACAAUAAAUUAAGAAGCACAUAGACAUAUGCUGAUGGUGGUUUCUUUCAUCGAUUUCAAAGUGAACUGAGCUCAGAAACAGAUGUGACACUGCGUUCAUGGUUCAGAUGAAACUCAUUGCCUCAUUCUGUAUUUCUUCUGAUUCCUUUCUAAUUUGGCCUACUGCCAUAACUCAAGAAAUUAUGCCUAGCACUGGGGACAAGCCCUUAAGACAAUUUACAGACAACUGGAUUUGUGUACACCAUCCUUCUAAUGUAAUUGAUAAAGCUCAAAUGGUGUACAUAUCCACAUGCUUUCAUAAUCUGCAUCGUUAUCCGUAAAAUCUCCUGUGCUUUUCUUUUUCCUAGUUUUUACUUAAAGGAGAAAAAGCAGAGCUAUUUCUUCUCUUAAAGAGUAGAACAAGCAAGCCAAAAUAUAGAUACAAAUC
Molecule: long non-coding RNA, 2263 nt
Organism: Strigops habroptila (Kakapo)
Lineage: Eukaryota; Metazoa; Chordata; Aves; Psittaciformes; Psittacidae
Source: Ensembl